UGCCUGGCUUAGCCACUCGACGAGGCUGC
This 29-nucleotide non-coding RNA is filed under the name Homo sapiens (human). Lineage: Eukaryota; Metazoa; Chordata; Mammalia; Primates; Hominidae. The record is from RNAcentral.